UAGGGAAUUUUGGGCAAUGGGCGAAAGCCUGACCCAGCAACGCCGCGUGAGGGAUGAAGUAUUUCGGUAUGUAAACCUCGAAAGAAUGGGAAGAAUAAAUGACGGUACCAUUUAUAAGCUCCGGCUAACUACGUGCCAGCAGCCGCGGUAAUACGUAGGGAGCAAGCGUUGUUCGGAUUUACUGGGCGUAAAGGGCGCGUAGGCGGCGCGGUAAGUCACUUGUGAAAUCUCUGAGCUUAACUCAGAACGGCCAAGUGAUACUGCUGUGCUAGAGUGCGGAAGAGGCAACCGGAAUUCUUGGUGUAGCGGUGAAAUGCGUAGAUAUCAAGAGGAACACCUGAGGCGAAGGCGGGUUGCUGGGCCGACACUGACGCUGAUGCGCGAAAGCCAGGGGAGCAAACG
RNAcentral lists this ribosomal RNA (402 nucleotides) under uncultured bacterium. RNAcentral's name for it is "bacterial SSU rRNA". It matches the Rfam family "Bacterial small subunit ribosomal RNA", at positions 355 to 774 of the family's 1533-position model. The record is from RNAcentral.